Non-coding RNA from Oryzias latipes (Japanese medaka), 1203 nucleotides. NCBI's taxonomy places the organism in Eukaryota, Metazoa, Chordata, Actinopteri, Beloniformes, Adrianichthyidae. The record is from RefSeq and is a predicted model, not a curated record.
CGCGUUGGCAGACGGGCAAAGAAAGACUCCAGCAAGAGAAGUAAAGCUUAUACUUUCUUUAUGAAACCUUUUGGGCCUAAUUUUAGAAUCAAAUGGCUCAAAACGCCCUGGUUGAAUGGAACACUGGACUGUGUGAUUGCUUUGAGGAUGCAGCCACCUGUUGCUAUGGUUUCUGGUGUGGCCCCUGCCUCGCUUGCUCAGUUUCAGGCAAAUUUGGAGAGUUCUACUGUCUACCCUUAUGUGAUUACUUCUGUCAAAGUACGCUGAAUGCUUGUGGCAUACCUUGCUUUGUCCCACCGGUAGCCUUCUCCACAAGGUCUUCCAUGCGCAACAGAUACGGGAUCAAGGGUUCUCUGUGUAAGGACCUCGUGGUUUCCUGUUGCUGCGUGUGGUGCUCCUGGUGUCAAAUGCAUCGUGAGCUGAAACAUCAGAAGAAAGCCCCCGAAGUAAUACACAUGCAACCACAAACUUUUGUUAACAUGCAGCCUAUUUCUGUGAUGAUGGUGUCUGAAACUCAUCUUCCAGCAGUAAUGGUGACUUCAUGACACGGAGCGGAACUGUCAACCCUACUUUUGUUAAGAAUUCCUCAUUACUUUCUAAGUACAAAUCUCUUUAAAGAAACUUCAAUUAUUUCCUUUAGUUUCUUUAAAAAAUGUAGCCAAAAUAUUUUUUUUACAAUAAAUUCUGGUUGGUAAAACACUUUUGGUAAAUAGAAAGCCUUUUGACAGCUUUAACCUCAAGAUCUUCAGAUACUUACAUGACAGUCUGCUGGAUCAGAUAUGUCAUACCGCAAGAAAUAGGUUUAUACCAUUGACUGUACAAGAGAACUGGGCUGAGUGAGUGGGAUAGCCCGCAUGACGUAACAUCUGGAACAAGACGGAAAGCAAGCCCAACGUUCUGUUGGAAUGCUGUUGGAAUGCUACUACUCAAGUAAUCCUGGCAGAGAAUGUGAAGGGAAUGUUCCAUCCACAAACAGCAACUCCUAUCACAACUUGAGAUUGAAGGGGUACAACACAAAUGAAGCACAACAGGAGAGCCAGACCACCAGGUCAGAGAGGAGGCUAUACCACACUCCCACCCUAAGCUUGGGAGCACAGUCCCAAUAACUACAGAUAUAUGGAAGCAUAACUGUCAAUUCAAAAUAAAAGUCAAUAACCGAAAAGCUAGUUUAGUUUAGUCUGUUUAGUUGAAGUUUAGUAUUAU